CCUCAAACGCAGCAGCCUGUUCAAAAUCGCUUUGCUUUGCGGCCGUCAUAGUUGCUCUCCUCGUUGCGUUUCUUGUGAAUUCAGAUCCAAAAAAUGGCAGGUGGACUCGCUGCGCGUUUUUGGAAGCUCCCGGUGCCUCAAUCCUCCGAUGUAAAGGCCGCCGCCAUGUGGGGCGUCGCGGCCGGCACCGGCGCUCUUUGGUUCGUCCAGCCGUUUGAUUGGAUAAAGAAGACAUUUUUCGAGAAGCCUGCUUCGGCUGAAGGCCAAUAAUUUUCACGAUGUUGCUGGAUCUGUGGGAACGCAGUUUUCAAGUUUCAAUGAGCCAACUAAUCAGAGGAGAGAUUCUAAUUUCCCAUCUGUUUCAAUAAUUUGCUUGUUUUGGAAUUUCCUAAGGACUAAAUUUUUUUUUUUUUUCAAUUGAAUACGUUCUUUGAGGUUUAGUUGUGAUAGCUAUUUUAUAGUGAUUUCUGUUCUAGCUGCAUAUGAAUUUUCAAUUUUUGACGUCAUAUUAUUCUACA
Malus domestica (apple) is the source of this 518-nucleotide long non-coding RNA. RefSeq lists it as uncharacterized. NCBI's taxonomy places the organism in Eukaryota, Viridiplantae, Streptophyta, Magnoliopsida, Rosales, Rosaceae. The record is from RefSeq and is a predicted model, not a curated record.